CUGAUUCCGAAUCAGUCUUUAAUGGCCCUUCCAGGGUGCCUUAGUUCAAGCGUUCAAGUGGUGAUACAGGUGGAGGUGUCGCCCUCUAGAGGUAGUCGAGCUCCAGUGCGUGGCUAAGAGCUUCCAGGUCUGCCCGGCAGGACACCCUCCAGAACGGCAUGUUCUUCUGAGGAAACGCUUCCCGUCGCACCCCCUUCGCGUUGAGACUCCGCCCCUGUCUACCUCCUCUUUACCUGGCGUGGGUGGACUGGGUGGCGGGUGGUACUCCCCUAAAAUGCACCAUCCCGGAAGAAUGAGUCAUUGGAAGCUCCCUGGCAACCCAACAAUCUUCAAAAUAACAAUAACAAAAACAAAAAGUCCCAUAUUCCCCUUUUGCUUUCACUGCAAAAGCACAACAAGGAAAAAAAACAACAUCCUGCAAACAUUUGGUCUUUUGUGGCAGUUUGUGACCAUGUGACUUCUCCACUGCUGAUUUAUGCAUAAGCACAUUUUUCAAACACAUUUAUUUUGUUUGAGAACGCCAUCUCUCCAAAGGCCGC
Molecule: long non-coding RNA, 539 nt
Organism: Dunckerocampus dactyliophorus (ringed pipefish)
Lineage: Eukaryota; Metazoa; Chordata; Actinopteri; Syngnathiformes; Syngnathidae
Exons: 3
Source: RefSeq, a predicted model, not a curated record